This is an unclassified non-coding RNA of Pongo abelii (Sumatran orangutan), 117 nucleotides long. It matches the Rfam family "Metazoan signal recognition particle RNA". Rfam says of the family: The signal recognition particle (SRP) is a universally conserved ribonucleoprotein. It is involved in the co-translational targeting of proteins to membranes. The eukaryotic SRP consists of a 300-nucleotide 7S RNA and six proteins: SRPs 72, 68, 54, 19, 14, and 9. NCBI's taxonomy places the organism in Eukaryota, Metazoa, Chordata, Mammalia, Primates, Hominidae. The record is from Ensembl.
GCCGGGCGUGGUGGCUCAUGCCUGUAAUCCCAGCACUCUGGGAGGCCGAGGUGGGUGGAUCACCUGAGGUCAGGAGUUCGAGAGCAGCCUGGCUAACACGGUGAAACCCCACCUCUA